CCUACGGGUGGCAGCAGUGAGGAAUAUUGGUCAAUGGACGAGAGUCUGAACCAGCCAAGUAGCGUGAAGGAUGACUGCCCUAUGAGUUUUAAACUUCUUUUAUAAAGGAAUAACACUAUGCACAUGUGCCUUUUUUCAUGUACUCUAUGAAUAAGGAUCGUCUAACUCCGUUCCAGCAGCCGCGGUAAUACGGAGGAUCCGAGCGUUAUCCGGCUUUAUUGGGUUUAAAGGUCGCGUAGAUGGGUUGUUACGUCAGUUGUGAAAGUUUGCGGCUCAACCGUAAACUUGCAAUUGAUACUGGCAGUCUUGAGUACAGUGGAGGUAGGCGGAAUUCGUGGUGUAGAGGUGAAAUGCUUAGAUAUCACGAAGAACCCCGAUUGCGAAGGCAGCUUACUAAACUGUGACUGACAUUGAUGCUCGAAAGUGUGGGUAUCAAACAGGAUUAGAUACCCCUGUAGUC
This 460-nucleotide ribosomal RNA is filed under the name uncultured bacterium. RNAcentral describes it as "partial 16S ribosomal RNA". It matches the Rfam family "Bacterial small subunit ribosomal RNA", at positions 338 to 795 of the family's 1533-position model. The record is from RNAcentral.